UAUAUAGGAAAUCACAUUUGAUAUCGGCAUCAAUCAGUGAGUACACAUAACAAUUGGACUAAAUUUGAUUUGGUUAGACUAGAACAUGCACAGAUUUAUGAUCUUCCAUAU
Molecule: long non-coding RNA, 111 nt
Organism: Drosophila navojoa
Lineage: Eukaryota; Metazoa; Arthropoda; Insecta; Diptera; Drosophilidae
Source: RefSeq, a predicted model, not a curated record